Molecule: ribosomal RNA, 406 nt
Filed under: uncultured bacterium
Lineage: Bacteria
Description: bacterial SSU rRNA
Rfam family: Bacterial small subunit ribosomal RNA
Source: RNAcentral
UUUCCGAGUGGCGGACGGGUGAGGAGCGCGUGACUGAUCUAUCCUGUGGUGGGGGAUACCCUCCAGAAAUGGGGGUUAAGACCGCAUACGAUGGGCUGGGGGGACCCAGGCCAGGAAAGCCCUGUGAGGGGUGCCGGAGGAGGGGGUUGCGUCGGAUUAGCUAGUUGGUGUGGUAAGGGCGCACCAAGGCGAUGAUCCGUAGCUGGUCUGAGAGGACGGCCAGCCACACUGGGACUGAGACACGGCCCAGACUCCUACGGGAGGCAGCAGUUAGGGAAUUUUGUCAAUGGGCGAAAGCCUGAACGAGUGACGCCGCGUGCAGGACGGAGCCUUUCGGGGUGUAAACUGCUUUUCUUUGGGACGAGAGAGGACGGUACCAGAGGAAGAAGCAUCGGCUAACUACGUG